AACGAACGCUGGCGGCAUGCCUAACACAUGCAAGUCGAACGAGACCUUCGGGUCUAGUGGCGCACGGGUGCAUAACGCGUGGGAACCUGCCUUUAGGUUCGGAAUAACUCAGAGAAAUUUGAGCUAAUACCGGAUGAUGUCUUCGGACCAAAGAUUUAUCGCCUUUAGAUGGGCCCGCGUUGGAUUAGCUAGUUGGUGGGGUAAAGGCCUACCAAGGCGACGAUCCAUAGCUGGUCUGAGAGGAUGAUCAGCCACACUGGGACUGAGACACGGCCCAGACUCCUACGGGAGGCAGCAGUGGGGAAUAUUGGACAAUGGGCGAAAGCCUGAUCCAGCAAUGCCGCGUGAGUGAUGAAGGCCUUAGGGUUGUAAAGCUCUUUUACCCGAGAUGAUAAUGACAGUAUCGGGAGAAUAAGCUCCGGCUAACUCCGUG
This 433-nucleotide ribosomal RNA is filed under the name uncultured bacterium. Its description in RNAcentral is "partial 16S ribosomal RNA". It matches the Rfam family "Bacterial small subunit ribosomal RNA", at positions 29 to 507 of the family's 1533-position model. The record is from RNAcentral.